This 73-nucleotide transfer RNA is filed under the name Camelus bactrianus (Bactrian camel). It matches the Rfam family "tRNA". Rfam says of the family: Transfer RNA (tRNA) molecules are approximately 80 nucleotides in length. Their secondary structure includes four short double-helical elements and three loops (D, anti-codon, and T loops). Further hydrogen bonds mediate the characteristic L-shaped molecular structure. tRNAs have two regions of fundamental functional importance: the anti-codon, which is responsible for specific mRNA codon recognition, and the 3' end, to which the tRNAs corresponding amino acid is attached (by aminoacyl-tRNA synthetases). tRNAs cope with the degeneracy of the genetic code in two manners: having more than one tRNA (with a specific anti-codon) for a particular amino acid; and 'wobble' base-pairing, i.e. permitting non-standard base-pairing at the 3rd anti-codon position. Lineage: Eukaryota; Metazoa; Chordata; Mammalia; Artiodactyla; Camelidae. The record is from Rfam by way of RNAcentral. RNAcentral also lists the same sequence under 2 other names.
GAGGGUAUAGCUCAAGUGGUAGAGUGCAUGCUUAGCAUGUGUGAGGUCCUGGGUUCAAUCCCCAGUACCUCUU